Molecule: ribosomal RNA, 245 nt
Filed under: uncultured bacterium
Lineage: Bacteria
Description: partial 16S ribosomal RNA
Rfam family: Bacterial small subunit ribosomal RNA
Source: RNAcentral
AACGUAGGAGGCGAGCGUUAUCCGGAUUUACUGGGCGUAAAGGGUGUGCAGGCGGGCCGUUAAGUGGUGCAUGAAAGCGAAGGGCUCAACCCUUCGAGGCUGUGCCAGACUGGCGGUCUGGAGUGCGGGAGAGGGCUGUGGAAUUCCGGGUGUAGUGGUGAAAUGCGUAGAGAUCCGGAGGAACACCAGAGGCGAAGGCGGCAGCCUGGCCCGCAACUGACGCUGAGACACGACAGCAUGGGGAG